Molecule: ribosomal RNA, 301 nt
Filed under: uncultured bacterium
Lineage: Bacteria
Description: partial 16S ribosomal RNA
Rfam family: Bacterial small subunit ribosomal RNA
Source: RNAcentral
CAGUAGCCGCGGGAAUACGUAGGUGGCGAGCGUUGUCCGGAAUUAUUGGGCGUAAAGGGAGCGCAGGCGGACAUAUAAGUCUAUCUUAAAAGUGCGGGGCUCAACCCCGUGAGGGGAUGGAAACUGUAUGCCUUGAGUGCAGGAGAGGAAAGCGGAAUUCCCAGUGUAGCGGUGAAAUGCGUAGAUAUUGGGAGGAACACCAGUGGCGAAGGCGGCUUUCUGGACUGUGACUGACGCUGAGGCUCGAAAGCCAGGGGAGCGAACGGGAUUAGAUACCCCAGUAGUCCCUGUCUCUUAUACA